This 708-nucleotide long non-coding RNA is filed under the name Homo sapiens (human). Its description in RNAcentral is "HSALNT0029563". The record is from RNAcentral. Lineage: Eukaryota; Metazoa; Chordata; Mammalia; Primates; Hominidae.
UCUGAGACUCACUCACAGUUUCCUUCUGUACUUUGUAAUUUCUCCCUGUGAGCUCAUUUUCAGCAGGAGUUUCUUCCUCUAGGUAUCCCAGGUGCCCCGCUUGUGGAGGCAUGCCUCAGGAAAGGUUUGCCUUUGCCUCUGCCGGGGUCCUAGUGAGUUUCAUAGACUCCAAAUGGACUUAUACAUUGAUUUCUCUGUUGGUUGUUUCCACACUGUGAGUGAUGAGAAUUUGGACCCCACCUCUAUUACUUGGCACAAGCUUGGAUUUUGGUCUUCCCCAGAUUAUCAUUUUUCUACCCAAAAUUUUAGUCCUGCUCCAUGCCAUCACCACUCCUCCAGCUGGUGGAUGGGGUGUGUCUAGCUCUCUAAACAUACAACGAUAGUAGGGCCCCAUUUCUGGCCUCUGCCACCCAAGAGGCUGUGAUUUUCACAUCUGCCCCUGACUGGGUGUUAAAGCCCCAGCCCCGUCGAUAUGCAUCUGGCUUCAAUUCCCCUUCAGCGCUCAUUCAUGACUCUGACUCUGAAUUCCCAUUUGUUUUUAGAAUCUGGAAUUUCUCCCUUUUUCCUUUCAAAUGCAGCUGUGAUUUCAAAUUGUUUUAUCCAAUAUUUAUAUAUGUGGGGGAAAGGGAGCUCCCUGUGCCAGCUCAGACCAAAAUCCCUUAGUGCUGUAAUUAGCUGUCACCGCUGUCUUUCCCACCGGCUGUGGGA